GAGUUUGAUCCUGGCUCAGGCAUCCAACGCUAGCGGCAGGCUUAAUACAUGCAAGUUGAACGGGAUAAGUUGUAGCAAUAUGACUUUGAGAGUGGCGCACGGGUGCGUAACACGUAUGCAACCUACCCUUAACUGGAGAAUAGCUCCUCGAAAGAGGGAUUAAUACUCCAUAAUAUAUUGUUUAGACAUCUUUACGAUAUUAAAGCUCAGGCGGUUAAGGAUGGGCAUGCGGCUGAUUAGCUAGUUGGUGAGGUAACGGCUCACCAAGGCAACGAUCAGUAGGGGGUCUGAGAGGAUUUUCCCCCACACUGGUACUGAGACACGGACCAGACUCCUACGGGAGGCAGCAGUAGGGAAUAUUGGUCAAUGGGCGAAAGCCUGAACCAGCCAUGCCGCGUGCAGGAUGACUGCCCUAUGGGUUGUAAACUGCUUUUGUACGGGAAGAAACCUUAUUACGUGUAAUAAGCUGACGGUACCGUGCGAAUAAGGAUCGGCUAACUUCGUGCCAGCAGCCGCGGUAAGACGAAGGAUCCAAAGCGUUGUCCGGAUUUACUGGGUUUAAAGGGUGCGUAGGCGGAGAAUUAAGUCAGUGGUGAAAGCCUGCAGCUU
RNAcentral lists this ribosomal RNA (609 nucleotides) under uncultured Bacteroidota bacterium. Its description in RNAcentral is "bacterial SSU rRNA". It matches the Rfam family "Bacterial small subunit ribosomal RNA", at positions 9 to 610 of the family's 1533-position model. The record is from RNAcentral. Lineage: Bacteria; Pseudomonadati; Bacteroidota.